UCUAGAUGUAGGGAUGACCGAGGCGACAUGCUUAAUCGAAGCUGCGUGGUAUGCGCUCAAGCAGUUGGUUUCCCCGCCGCCUUACAAUGCACCUGACCAAAGGAUGUUGCGACGAACCAUAGGAUAAUACGAACAUUUUGUGAACAGUGGAAACGUGGUUUUGGAGCGUGAUCAGCUGCGAUACUCUGCUCAUGAUGAUGGUGUCACCAGGUGCACCCCGCUGGCGCCCGUGGCUGCGUCCCAUGAUACGUGUACAAUGGUAUGAGGGUGCGAGUUCGGACGCUGCGGGGAGGGGGUGUAUGCAGGCGGUGGCAGCAAACGCUUCGCCAGAAGUUGCGUGUUUUGCGGCGGCCGCAGCUUCUCGGGUCGAACAUGAACGCAGGUUCUGAAAGAGAUGUGAGCAGCAUGGGGCUUGACGAAUGGCGGUCAUUUUGAGUAAGUGACUCAAACAGUGCGAUCCGAAUGGUGAGGUGUAAGUUGGAGACGACAAACGAUGGCAUGAAAGAGCCGAGAUUUUGUUGUGAGAGUGCAGCUGUUCCGGCUUAUGAACUGUGGUUAUCGUUGGUAGUGUCCCGACACAGGUGGGGAUCUCAAACAGCAGAGCAGGCAAGAUAGGUGUCUGGGUUUUCAAAGUGCACUAUCUCCUAGGUGGUGGACAGCGGUGCAUUUUGUGGUAUCCUCUUCUGGACGGUAGGGAGAUCCACAUGAGGGAGUCAACCAGCUGGCAUCAAGAGGUGAAGUAUACUGUCGCCGACUAGCGGUCAUCCGAUUCGUCACUCCGUUAACUGGAUGAUUGCCCUAUUGUGCUUUUCUAGGCAAUAGGAGUACGACAGAUGACUUUUGAGGCUUAGUAGAAGAUGAAUGAUUGGAUUUUCAGACGUCACUCGUCGGACUGCGUUGAGUAUUCGUUUUCUGCUACUUCAGAUUAUCCCGGAGCGCUGUGAAAUACCACAGUUUUUGAAACGGUUGAGCGAAAGUGUUGCCGUGCCGUCGAGUAUGGUAUCACGAUGAUGAGGGCACUGGAGCAAGGCAGAUGAUUUGUGUCUCCAAGGGUUUAAGCGCUGGUGGGGGUACGGCGGUAGGAGGACCGGAUGCCGAAACUUCAGAAGGAGCGAUACGUCGGCAGUGGGAGGAAACCGUUCGCUUUUUGCAGCAUGUGCUGCGGCGGGUGCACUGGCUUUGGGGAAGAGGGGUGAUCAGGCAGCUAGCUUCGGGACGAGGCGAAAAUAGAACAGAGGGAAAAAGUAAAGAGUGCUUGGAUAGCGGCAAUAGGGACCGGCAACGUCAAUUAUAUCGAGUGAUGAACUGCGCACUUUUUGUUUUUGGCGUGAUUCGAAGGAGCGAGUUGACGCCGGCGACGAGGCGGGAGCUUAUUAUGGUAGGGUCCUAAAUGCUUCAACUGAUGAGCUCUAUUAUCAGUGUCGGCUGUAUAGCGAGGUACAAGGCGAACGCGAGCGGUGGCGUAGGCGGCAGGUCCAACGAGGUUCCCACAGUGCACUUUCUGGUACCCAGUGGGUUGGGGUGAAUGUGAUGGCGUCGUCUUGAUGAGAACAGGGGCUGUCAUGGGCGCGUGUCUCCACUGACAUCAGAG
RNAcentral lists this long non-coding RNA (1591 nucleotides) under Toxoplasma gondii VEG. The record is from RNAcentral. Lineage: Eukaryota; Apicomplexa; Conoidasida; Eucoccidiorida; Sarcocystidae.